Myotis daubentonii (Daubenton's bat) is the source of this 874-nucleotide long non-coding RNA. RefSeq lists it as uncharacterized. Lineage: Eukaryota; Metazoa; Chordata; Mammalia; Chiroptera; Vespertilionidae. The record is from RefSeq and is a predicted model, not a curated record.
AUGUCCAUAGAAUUCUGAAACUCAACUAAGGGUCAGAACCAGGACUAAACUCCAGGUCUCAAUUGCAAAGUCCAUUUACAUCAGUUUUUUCUUUUAAAAGACUAGGUGCUAGGAGCUAGAGGCAAAUAAGGAAGUGGAGUGCUGAUCUUGAGCCUAAGAAUUUCCCCAUGCUGAGAACAAGUUCACAACAGAAGAGCAGAGCAGAGAGACCUAUCUCAAGUACAGGAUAGCUGCUCCAUCUACCCUUCCAUCAGCAGGACAGGGGUGUCCCUGUGUACCACUCUCCCAGCCAACACUUGUGCCCAGGAGGAGCUACAGAACAUCAAUGAAUACUGCUGAAUUAAAUGGAAUAAAGUCCAGUGUUGGUGUAACCAUUCUUUGUCCCAUCUCUCUUAUAGAUUCUAGCAGGAACUUGGCACACACUAAAGUGUACAGAUUAUUUUUUUAGCUUCUUAUUUUGAAAUGAUUUCAAACUUACAGAACAAUUACAAAAAUAGCACCGAAAAACUCCUCAUAUACCCUUUACUCAGAUUCUUAGUUCAUUUGGCCUCAUGUGCUUUACCAACUCCUUCCUAUUUUUUCCUGGACCAUGUGAGGGUUAGUUUCAGAUAUUAUCCCCCAUUACUUCUGAAUACUUCAGCACAUAUUUCCUAGUUCAAGGACAUUCUCUUAUACAAUCACUAACCAAUAAUGAUCAAAUUCAGAACAGUUAACAUUGAUAAAAUGUUUAUCUAAUAUACAGCCCAUAUUUAAUUUUUCCAAUAAUCCUAAUAAGAUCCUUCAUAGCAAUCUCCCUGCCCCAUGAUCCAGAUAUAAGCCAGGAUCAAUACUGGAAUAAAACAUUGCAUGUGUCUUCAGUUUUUUUUCAUCUAGA